This 1500-nucleotide ribosomal RNA is filed under the name uncultured bacterium. RNAcentral describes it as "bacterial SSU rRNA". It matches the Rfam family "Bacterial small subunit ribosomal RNA". The record is from RNAcentral.
GACGAACGCUGGCGGCGUGCCUAAUACAUGCAAGUAGAACGCUGAAGAGAGGAGCUUGCUCUUCUUGGAUGAGUUGCGAACGGGUGAGUAACGCGUAGGUAACCUGCCUGGUAGCGGGGGAUAACUAUUGGAAACGAUAGCUAAUACCGCAUAAAAUUGAUUAUUGCAUGAUACUUAAUUGAAAGAUGCAAUUGCAUCACUACCAGAUGGACCUGCGUUGUAUUAGCUAGUUGGUGAGGUAACGGCUCACCAAGGCGACGAUACAUAGCCGACCUGAGAGGGUGAUCGGCCACACUGGGGCUGAGACACGGCCCAGACUCCUACGGGAGGCAGCAGUAGGGAAUCUUCGGCAAUGGGGGGAACCCUGACCGAGCAACGCCGCGUGAGUGAAGAAGGUUUUCGGAUCGUAAAGCUCUGUUGUAAGAGAAGAACGGGUGUGAGAGUGGAAAGUUCACACUGUGACGGUAUCUUACCAGAAAGGGACGGCUAACUACGUGCCAGCAGCCGCGGUAAUACGUAGGUCCCGAGCGUUGUCCGGAUUUAUUGGGCGUAAAGCGAGCGCAGGCGGUUAGAUAAGUCUGAAGUUAAAGGCUGUGGCUUAACCAUAGUAUGCUUUGGAAACUGUUUAACUUGAGUGCAGAAGGGGAGAGUGGAAUUCCAUGUGUAGCGGUGAAAUGCGUAGAUAUAUGGAGGAACACCGGUGGCGAAAGCGGCUCUCUGGUCUGUAACUGACGCUGAGGCUCGGAAGCGUGGGGAGCAAACAGGAUUAGAUACCCUGGUAGUCCACGCCGUAAACGAUGAGUGCUAGGUGUUAGGCCCUUUCCGGGGCUUAGUGCCGCAGCUAACGCAUUAAGCACUCCGCCUGGGGAGUACGACCGCAAGGUUGAAACUCAAAGGAAUUGACGGGGGCCCGCACAAGCGGUGGAGCAUGUGGUUUAAUUCGAAGCAACGCGAAGAACCUUACCAGGUCUUGACAUCCCUCUGACCGCUCUAGAGAUAGAGUUUUCCUUCGGGACAGAGGUGACCGGUGGUGCAUGGUUGUCGUCAGCUCGUGUCGUGAGAUGUUGGGUUAAGUCCCGCAACGAGCGCAACCCCUAUUGUUAGUUGCCAUCAUUCAGUUGGGCACUCUAGCGAGACUGCCGGUAAUAAACCGGAGGAAGGUGGGGAUGACGUCAAAUCAUCAUGCCCCUUAUGACCUGGGCUACACACGUGCUACAAUGGCUGGUACAACGAGUCGCAAGCCGGUGACGGCAAGCUAAUCUCUGAAAGCCAGUCUCAGUUCGGAUUGUAGGCUGCAACUCGCCUACAUGAAGUCGGAAUCGCUAGUAAUCGCGGAUCAGCACGCCGCGGUGAAUACGUUCCCGGGCCUUGUACACACCGCCCGUCACACCACGAGAGUUUGUAACACCCGAAGUCGGUGAGGUAACCGUAAGGAGCCAGCCGCCUAAGGUGGGAUAGAUGAUUGGGGUGAAGUCGUAACAAGGUAGCCGUAUCGGAAGG